Long non-coding RNA from Hyaena hyaena (striped hyena), 1227 nucleotides. RefSeq lists it as uncharacterized. The transcript is spliced from 2 exons. Lineage: Eukaryota; Metazoa; Chordata; Mammalia; Carnivora; Hyaenidae. The record is from RefSeq and is a predicted model, not a curated record.
CACUCACAAGCCACAACCAGAGAGAGACGCACCUGGCUGCAGGCACCCGCCUGCGGAUGUAUGGAAGGCCUGGAAAACUACAGUGACUCAAAGACACGGCCUCCUUGCCCCAUGCACACCAAGCCUUGACAGACAGACCCACCUGGAAAACUCCCACUGACCAUCAGCCACCCCAGCCCACAGCCGCACACCCAGCCAACACGUGUAAGCCAGGCAAGAUGGUCUUGGGUCCCGCACGUCCACCGCGCCCAACCCCCACGGAUGAGCAUCAGGUCACGCCACCCGUUGGCCUCCAGCUGAAGCUUCAGGCCCAGGGAGCAGCCCUGCCCUGAUCCAGAAGCCAUCCAGGCAAGAACAAGAGAUUCAUCUCAGAGCCCCAGCCCUGGGGAAAGCCUGCAGGCCGCCGUCCCCUCCAGGCACAUCCAGCCACUGAGGGUCCCACAUGCCAGAUCACUGGGCCACAUGGCCUCCGCUCCCCGGCGAGGGGACCUGCCCCACCACAGAGCAGGAUGCUGGGCAAGGAUGAGCUGCACUGUGGGUACAGGAGGGGGGGCCACCCCUUAUCCUCGCUGCUCCCAGGCAGCAGCCUGAGGACACGAACGAGGCAGCCACUCCCCUUAGGCCCGAGCCAUGAUGGCUCUGGAAAGGCAAGUGUCUGAUUUUCAAGAAACACUCUUCAGAGAGGUUGUGGGCAAGGGUUUUAUGAAUUUCACUCACAAACGUCGUCAACCGAUUAAGGGAUGAUCUAUCUCAAGCAACUCGGGAAUGCCGCAGAAGGCAAAAUUGAAAUUAAAUAAGCAGAAUCCAUCUCCCAUCCUAGACAGAGCAAGCAAGCUCGCAGGCCACCACUGCCAGUGUGGCCUCAUGGCUGCGGCCCCCACAAGGCCCCAAGUUCACAAGUGCCUGCCCCAGGCCUCAGCCUCUGCUGGGCAGAGGGAAUGAAGUCUCAACGGCCAUCUGUACCCCAGACUCCCCGAAUUCUGACCUGGACUCUCUAUCCACCUCCGGCAUCUGCUCCUAGAGGGAGCACUCCUGCCCCGAUGGAGGGCUCCGCCCCAGCCUGCACCAAGCUGCCACAUGCUACGAAUCCGCCAUGCCGAGCCAGCACGCCAGCGCCGAAGCGGAAUGACAAGAAAGCUUCCCAGAGAUGAUCCCUUGGUGUCUGGGGGAUUAAUUAACUCCUCUUGUUUUUUUUUUAAAUGUAUAAAACAAGGGCGAUGCCCCGCA